AAUGGCCGCAAGGCUGAUCCAGCCAUGCCGCGUGAAGGAUGAAGGUGCUAUGCAUUGUAAACUUCUUUUGUCCCGGAAUAAACCCCUGAUUUCUAUCGGGGCUGAAUGUACGGGAAGAAUAAGGGACGGCUAACUUCGUGCCAGCAGCCGCGGUAAUACGAAGGUCCCAAGCGUUAUCCGGAUUUAUUGGGUUUAAAGGGUGCGUAGGCGGGUUGUUAAGUCAGUGGUGAAAGCCUACAGCUCAACUGUAGAAUUGCCAUUGAUACUGACGAUCUUGAGUAUGGUUGAGGAGGGCGGAAUGUGUCAUGUAGCGGUGAAAUGCUUAGAUAUGACACAGAACACCGAUUGCGAAGGCAGCUCUCUAAGCCAAUACUGACGCUGAUGCACGAAAGCGUGGGGAGCAAA
This 405-nucleotide ribosomal RNA is filed under the name uncultured bacterium. RNAcentral's name for it is "bacterial SSU rRNA". It matches the Rfam family "Bacterial small subunit ribosomal RNA", at positions 370 to 772 of the family's 1533-position model. The record is from RNAcentral.